UAUGGUAAUUGGCCGCCGCGGUAAAACGUAGGUCACAAGCGUUGUCCGGAAUUACUGGGUGUAAAGGGAGCGCAGGCGGGAAGACAAGUUGGAAGUGAAAUCUAUGGGCUCAACCCAUAAACUGCUUUCAAAACUGUUUUUCUUGAGUAGUGCAGAGGUAGGCGGAAUUCCCGGUGUAGCGGUGGAAUGCGUAGAUAUCGGGAGGAACACCAGUGGCGAAGGCGGCCUACUGGGCACCAACUGACGCUGAGGCUCGAAAGUGUGGGUAGCAAACAGG
This 277-nucleotide ribosomal RNA is filed under the name Faecalibacterium prausnitzii. RNAcentral's name for it is "partial 16S ribosomal RNA". It matches the Rfam family "Bacterial small subunit ribosomal RNA", at positions 502 to 776 of the family's 1533-position model. The record is from RNAcentral. Lineage: Bacteria; Bacillati; Bacillota; Clostridia; Eubacteriales; Oscillospiraceae.